UACGUAGGGUGCAAGCGUUGUCCGGAUUUAUUGGGUUUAAAGGGUGCGUAGGCGGCCCUAUAAGUCAGAGGUGAAAGAUGUCGGCUUAACCGGCAAAUUGCCUUUGAUACUGUAGGGCUUGAGUACAGAUGAGGUGGCCGGAAUGUUACAUGUAGCGGUGAAAUGCUUAGAUAUGUAACAGAACACCGAUUGCGAAGGCAGGUCACUAAGGUGUAACUGACGCUGAGGCACGAAAGCGUGGGGAUCAAACAG
RNAcentral lists this ribosomal RNA (252 nucleotides) under uncultured bacterium. Its description in RNAcentral is "partial 16S ribosomal RNA". It matches the Rfam family "Bacterial small subunit ribosomal RNA", at positions 524 to 775 of the family's 1533-position model. The record is from RNAcentral.